Molecule: ribosomal RNA, 578 nt
Filed under: uncultured Flavobacterium sp.
Lineage: Bacteria; Pseudomonadati; Bacteroidota; Flavobacteriia; Flavobacteriales; Flavobacteriaceae
Description: bacterial SSU rRNA
Rfam family: Bacterial small subunit ribosomal RNA
Source: RNAcentral
CCUACGGGAGGCAGCAGUGAGGAAUAUUGGACAAUGGGCGAAAGCCUGAUCCAGCCAUGCCGCGUGCAGGAAGACUGCCCUAUGGGUUGUAAACUGCUUUUGUACGGGAAGAAACACCCCCACGUGUGGGGGCUUGACGGUACCGUAAGAAUAAGCAUCGGCUAACUCCGUGCCAGCAGCCGCGGUAAUACGGAGGAUGCAAGCGUUAUCCGGAAUCAUUGGGUUUAAAGGGUCCGUAGGCGGGCAAUUAAGUCAGAGGUGAAAGUCUGCGGCUCAACCGUAGAACUGCCUUUGAAACUGGUUGUCUUGAAUCGUUGUGAAGUGGUUAGAAUGAGCAGUGUAGCGGUGAAAUGCUUAGAGAUUGCUCAGAAUACCGAUUGCGAAGGCAGAUCACUAACAACGUAUUGACGCUGAGGGACGAAAGCGUGGGGAGCGAACAGGAUUAGAUACCCUGGUAGUCCACGCCGUAAACGAUGGAUACUAGCUGUCCGGUCUUCGGACUGGGUGGCCAAGCGAAAGUGAUAAGUAUCCCACCUGGGGAGUACGUUCGCAAGAAUGAAACUCAAAGGAAUUGACGG